RNAcentral lists this long non-coding RNA (1866 nucleotides) under Canis lupus familiaris (dog). Its description in RNAcentral is "lncRNA (ENSCAFG00000054061.1)". Lineage: Eukaryota; Metazoa; Chordata; Mammalia; Carnivora; Canidae. The record is from RNAcentral.
UUUUUUUUUUUUUUUUUUUUUGUGACAUAGUUUUUAAUUCACCAUUGUCCUUUGAGGGGAUGGAGGUAAUCUCAGAGAUUUCCAUUUGGUCUUUUCUACGAUAGCUCAACACUUACAGGCCAACAAUUGCACAUCAGAGUAACUCCAACUCCAAAGUAUGUCAAUACUUAUUGUAAAUUAAGGGAUAUACAAAAUUACCACCAGUUGGUCUGUGAACCCAGUAGAUCCAUUGUAAGAUAGACAUUGGUCAGGAAUCCACUUAUUACCUGACCCCCGCAUAUGACUUUUAAUAUGUGGACCAUGAGAAUGCUUUUAGGUCUCUGGAUAUCAUUGUUAACUCAGGCCCUUGUGUGGGAGACUUCAAGAUGUCUGGGUAAUUUCCUUUUUCUAAUGUACAGUUGCUCAAGUAAAUGGUCAUAGGUCCCUGUGACAGAAAGACUAAGAUCUUCCUCAAUGAUCUCUGAAUUCUGAUAGGCAGUCUUUGUAUAAUCCCCUUCUCUUGAGAGUGGCCUAACUUAGCAAAUUAUUUCUAACCAAUAGAAUAUGGCAAAGGUCAUAGGAAGCUACUUCCAUGAUUACAAAAGAGAACUUCUUUUUGUUGGAAGACUCUUUAUUGACUGUCUUGCUUGCUUUGAUGAAGUCAGAUGCCAUACUGGAGAAGCCCAUUCAGCAAUGAACUGAAAUUGGACCCGGGCCAACAACCAGCAUGAAACUGAUGUCCUUAGUCUAAUAGCCUAUAAGGAACUAGAUCCUGCAAGUAACUAUGUGAGCUUGGAAGUGAUCCUUUCCCAGUUGUUCCUUCAGGUAAAAUUUGGCCCAUAUCUUAACUGUAACCUUUUUUUUUUUUAAGUUUUAUUUAAGUAAUCUCUACAUCCAUCACAGGGCUCCACUCACAACUCUGAGAUCAAGUGUCAUAUGCUCUUCCAACUGAGCCAGCCAGGCACCACUUGAUUAUAGCCUUAUGUUAGACCUUGAAGUAGAGGCCCCAGCAAGGUUGUGCUUAAUCUCAUGAACCUCAGAAACUGUGAGAUAAAGACUAUGUGUUGCUCUAAGCUGCUAAAUUUGUGGUAGCUUGUUACAAAGUAAUAGAUAAUACAGUGUAAUAAGGGGUAUGAUUCCAUUUUUGACAUUUGACUGCUGUGUAUGGCUUGCUUUAGUGAAGGUAGGAAAGUUCAAACUAUGCAAACCCCAACCUCUUCAUGGGAACCCUUACAGAGCCCCAUCCCUAAGCACAAUAAAAACCCAAGCCACUCUCCCCUCCCUUAGUGCUCAAUCCAUUCUGAGACCUACUUGGAAUCCUGCCUUAUUCUCCCCAGAGAAAUCUCACUAUGUAAUAAGCCUUUCUAUAUCCUGUUGGUGCAAAUGUGCUACUAUCAAUUUUGACACCCAAACCGAAUUCUGAGUUGACAGUCUAUCCCACAUCUGUAGGGUGGCUGCAAAAAUUAGAGCAGUGGGCAGAAUGUCUAAGCAAUAGCUACUAUUAUCAGGGGUCUUUCUUCUCAUGCUUUGGUUUGCUAUCAAGCUCUGUCGCCUUUUGGCAACUAUGCAUUUUCAGUUGUUGCCAACUGGAAAGCAUGUUGUUUGAUCUGUGCUGCUGUCUGGAGAGUUUGUGCUUUGAGCUUUGCCACUUUGCACUGUAUUUUCUGAGUCCUACCAAACCUCUAUUAUAGAUUUAACUGACCUAAAUCAGAAGUUUUGAUAAUGAGCUUUUACAGGAGUGAGAUUGAGGCCUUCCUUAAAGUAGCCCUGGGUCAUGUGUCUUUACCCAAAUCUCUAUCUCAGAUUGAGCCUGCUUCUCCCUCUACCUAUGUCUCUGUCUCUCAUGAAAAAAGAAAUAAAAUAUUAAAAAAAAAAAAAAAAAAAAAA